GAUGAACGCUGGCGGCGUGCUUAACACAUGCAAGUCGAACGAUGAAGCCCAGCUUGCUGGGUGGAUUAGUGGCGAACGGGUGAGUAACACGUGAGUAACCUGUCCUUGACUCUGGGAUAAGCCUGGGAAACUGGGUCUAAUACUGGAUAUGACUUCUCAUCGCAUGGUGGGGGGUGGAAAGAUUUAUUGGUCUUGGAUGGACUCGCGGCCUAUCAGCUUGUUGGUGAGGUAAUGGCUCACCAAGGCGUCGACGGGUAGCCGGCCUGAGAGGGUGACCGGCCACACUGGGACUGAGACACGGCCCAGACUCCUACGGGAGGCAGCAGUGGGGAAUAUUGCACAAUGGGCGCAAGCCUGAUGCAGCGACGCCGCGUGAGGGAUGACGGCCUUCGGGUUGUAAACCUCUUUCAGUAGGGAAGAAGCGAGAGUGACGGUACCUGCAGAAGAAGCGCCGGCUAACUACGUG
Molecule: ribosomal RNA, 466 nt
Filed under: uncultured bacterium
Lineage: Bacteria
Description: partial 16S ribosomal RNA
Rfam family: Bacterial small subunit ribosomal RNA
Source: RNAcentral